This 520-nucleotide ribosomal RNA is filed under the name uncultured Glomus. Its description in RNAcentral is "SSU rRNA". It matches the Rfam family "Eukaryotic small subunit ribosomal RNA", at positions 569 to 1091 of the family's 1831-position model. Lineage: Eukaryota; Fungi; Glomeromycota; Glomeromycetes; Glomerales; Glomeraceae. The record is from RNAcentral.
AGCAGCCGCGGUAAUUCCAGCUCCAAUAACGUAUAUUAAAGUUGUUGCAGUUAAAAAGCUCGUAGUUGAAUUUCGGGGUUAGUAGGUUGGUCAUGCCUCUGGUAUGUACUGGUCUCACUGAUUCCUCCUUCCUGAUGAGCCGUAAUGCCAUUAAUUUGGUGUUGCGGGGAAUUUGGACUGUUACUUUGAAAAAAUUAGAGUGUUUAAAGCAAGCUAACGCUUGAAUACAUUAGCAUGGAAUAAUGAAAUAGGACGUUCGAUCCUAUUUUGUUGGUUUCUAGGAUUGACGUAAUGAUUAAUAGGGAUAGUUGGGGGCAUUAGUAUUCAAUUGUCAGAGGUGAAAUUCUUGGAUUUAUUGAAGACUAACUACUGCGAAAGCAUUUGCCAAGGAUGUUUUCAUUAAUCAAGAACGAAAGUUAGGGGAUCGAAGACGAUCAGAUACCGUCGUAGUCUUAACCAUAAACUAUGCCGACUAGGGAUCGGAUGAUGUUAAUUUUUAAUGACUCAUUCGGCGCCUUAA